AGAGUUUGAUCCUGGCUCAGAACGAACGCUGGCGGCGUGGAUAAGACAUGCAAGUCGAACGGGAGAAUUGCUAGCUUGCUAAUAAUUCUCUAGUGGCGCACGGGUGAGUAACACGUGAGUAACCUGCCUCUUAGUGGGGGAUAGCCCUGGGAAACCGGGAUUAAUACCGCAUACGAUUGAAAGAUCAAAGCAGCAAUGCGCUAGGAGAUGGGCUCGCGGCCUAUUAGUUAGUUGGUGAGGUAACGGCUCACCAAGGCGAUGACGGGUAGCCGGUCUGAGAGGAUGUCCGGCCACACUGGAACUGAGACACGGUCCAGACACCUACGGGUGGCAGCAGUCGAGAAUCAUUCGCAAUGGGGGCAACCCUGAUGGUGCGACGCCGCGUGGGGGAAUGAAGGUCUUCGGAUUGUAAACCCCUGUCAUGUGGGAGCAAAUUAAAAAGAUAGUACCACAAGAGGAAGAGACGGCUAACUCUGUGCCAGCAGCCGCGGUAAUACAGAGGUCUCAAGCGUUGUUCGGAAUCACUGGGCGUAAAGCGUGCGUAGGCUGUUUCGUAAGUCGUGUGUGAAAGGCAGGGGCUCAACCCCUGGAUUGCACAUGAUACUGCGAGACUAGAGUAAUGGAGGGGGAACCGGAAUUCUCGGUGUAGCAGUGAAAUGCGUAGAUAUCGAGAGGAACACUCGUGGCGAAGGCGGGUUCCUGGACAUUAACUGACGCUGAGGCACGAAGGCCAGGGGAGCGAAAGGGAUUAGAUACCCCUGUAGUCCUGGCAGUAAACGGUGCACGCUUGGGGUGCGGGGGAAUCGACCCCCUG
RNAcentral lists this ribosomal RNA (814 nucleotides) under uncultured bacterium. RNAcentral's name for it is "bacterial SSU rRNA". It matches the Rfam family "Bacterial small subunit ribosomal RNA", at positions 8 to 841 of the family's 1533-position model. The record is from RNAcentral.